This 436-nucleotide ribosomal RNA is filed under the name bacterium. RNAcentral's name for it is "bacterial SSU rRNA". It matches the Rfam family "Bacterial small subunit ribosomal RNA", at positions 56 to 473 of the family's 1533-position model. The record is from RNAcentral.
UGCAGUCGAGCGGAACGAGUUAUCUGAACCUUCGGGGAACGAUAACGGCGUCGAGCGGCGGACGGGUGAGUAAUGCCUGGGAAAUUGCCCUGAUGUGGGGGAUAACCAUUGGAAACGAUGGCUAAUACCGCAUAAUAGCUUCGGCUCAAAGAGGGGGACCUUCGGGCCUCUCGCGUCAGGAUAUGCCCAGGUGGGAUUAGCUAGUUGGUGAGGUAAGGGCUCACCAAGGCGACGAUCCCUAGCUGGUCUGAGAGGAUGAUCAGCCACACUGGAACUGAGACACGGUCCAGACUCCUACGGGAGGCAGCAGUGGGGAAUAUUGCACAAUGGGCGCAAGCCUGAUGCAGCCAUGCCGCGUGUAUGAAGAAGGCCUUCGGGUUGUAAAGUACUUUCAGCAGUGAGGAAGGCGGAUACGUUAAUAGCGCCCUCAUUUGAC